CUAUUUAGGUAGUGCCUCGAGUAUGAGACUGAUGGGGGUAAAGCACUGUUAUGGCUAGGGGGUUAUUGCAACUUACCAACCCAUGGCAAACUAAGAAUACCAUCAAGUUGCUCCUCGGGAGACAGACAUCGGGUGCUAACGUCCGGUGUCAAGAGGGAAACAACCCAGACCGCCAGCUAAGGUCCCAAAUGAUAGAUUAAGUGGUAAACGAAGUGGGAAGGCACAGACAGCCAGGAUGUUGGCUUAGAAGCAGCCAUCAUUUAAAGAAAGCGUAAUAGCUCACUGGUCGAGUCUUCCUGCGCGGAAGAUGUAACGGGGCUCAAAUCUAUAACCGAAGCUGCGGAUAUACUUUUGUAUAUGGUAGGGGAGCGUUCUGUAAGCCUGUGAAGGUGACUUGUAAAGGUUGCUGGAGGUAUCAGAAGUGCGAAUGUUGACAUGAGUAGCGAUAAAGCGGGUGAAAAGCCCGCUCGCCGAAAGCCCAAGGUUUCCUACGCAACGUUCAUCGGCGUAGGGUGAGUCGGCCCCUAAGGCGAGGCAGAAAUGCGUAGUCGAUGGGAAACAGGUUAAUAUUCCUGUACUUUGAUUCAAUGCGAUGUGGGGACGGAGAAGGUUAGGUUAGCAAACUGUUGGAAUAGUUUGUUUAAGCCAGUAGGUGGAAAGAGUAGGCAAAUCCGCUCUUUCUUAACACCGAGACGUGAUGACGAGUGUCUACGGACAUGAAGUGACCAAUACCACGCUUCCAGGAAAAGCCACUAAGCUUCAGUUGAAUCAGAACCGUACCGCAAACCGACACAGGUGGGCAGGAUGAGAAUUCUAAGGCGCUUGAGAGAACUCGGGAGAAGGAACUCGGCAAAUUGAUACCGUAACUUCGGGAGAAGGUAUGCCCUCUAAUGUUAAGGACUUGCUCCGUAAGCAUCUGAGGGUCGCAGAGAAUCGGUGGCUGCGACUGUUUAUUAAAAACACAGCACUCUGCUAACACGAAAGUGGACAUAUAGGGUGUGACGCCUGCCCGGUGCUGGAAGGUUAAUUGAAGAUGUGCAAGCAUCGGAUCGAAGCCCCAGUAAACGGCGGCCGUAACUAUAACGGUCCUAAGGUAGCGAAAUUCCUUGUCGGGUAAGUUCCGACCCGCACGAAUGGCGUAACGAUGGCCACACUGUCUCCUCCCGAGACUCAGCGAAGUUGAAAUGGUUGUGAAGAUGCAAUCUCCCCGCUGCUAGACGGAAAGACCCCGUGAACCUUUACUGUAGCUUUGCAUUGGACUUUGAAGUCACUUGUGUAGGAUAGGUGGGAGGCUUUGAAGCAGAGACGCCAGUCUCUGUGGAGCUGUCCUUGAAAUACCACCCUGGUGACUUUGAGGUUCUAACCCAGACCCGUUAUCCGGGUCGGGGACCGUGCAUGGUAGGCAGUUUGACUGGGGCGGUCUCCUCCCAAAGAGUAACGGAGGAGUUCGAAGGUUACCUAGGUCCGGUCGGAAAUCGGACUGAUAGUGCAAUGGCAAAAGGUAGCUUAACUGCGAGACCGACAAGUCGAGCAGGUGCGAAAGCAGGACAUAGUGAUCCGGUGGUUCUGAAUGGAAGGGCCAUCGCUCAACGGAUAAAAGGUACUCCGGGGAUAACAGGCUGAUUCCGCCCAAGAGUCCAUAUCGACGGCGGAGUUUGGCACCUCGAUGUCGGCUCAUCACAUCCUGGGGCUGUAGUCGGUCCCAAGGGUAUGGCUGUUCGCCAUUUAAAGUGGUACGUGAGCUGGGUUUAAAACGUCGUGAGACAGUUUGGUCCCUAUCUGCAGUGGGCGUUGGAAGUUUGACGGGGGCUGCUCCUAGUACGAGAGGACCGGAGUGGACGAACCUCUGGUGUACCGGUUGUUUCGCCAGAAGCAUAGCCGGGUAGCUAAGUUCGGAAGAGAUAAGCGCUGAAAGCAUCUAAGCGCGAAACUCGCCCAAAGAUGAGACUUCCCUUGUGGUUUAACCAUACUAAAGAGUCGUUCGAGACCAGGACGUUGAUAGGUUGGGUGUGGAAG
Molecule: ribosomal RNA, 2016 nt
Filed under: Kingella kingae
Lineage: Bacteria; Pseudomonadati; Pseudomonadota; Betaproteobacteria; Neisseriales; Neisseriaceae
Description: partial 23S ribosomal RNA
Rfam family: Bacterial large subunit ribosomal RNA
Source: RNAcentral